RNAcentral lists this ribosomal RNA (520 nucleotides) under Hygrophorus pudorinus. Its description in RNAcentral is "eukaryotic LSU rRNA". The stretch from base 186 to 339 matches the Rfam family "5.8S ribosomal RNA". Lineage: Eukaryota; Fungi; Basidiomycota; Agaricomycetes; Agaricales; Hygrophoraceae. The record is from RNAcentral.
CUUGGUCAUUUAGUGGAAGUAAAAGUCGUAACAAGGUUUCCGUAGGUGACCCUGCGGAAGGAUCAUUAUUGAAUUUGGGUUUCCAUAUUCUUAUCACCUGUGCACUUUUUGUAGGCCAUUCAUUUGGUCUAUGUGUUUUAUUAUAACCAAUCUGUAAUGUGAACGGAAACGAUGAUAACAAUUACAACUUUCAACAACGGAUCUCUUGGCUCUCGCAUCGAUGAAGAACGCAGCGAAAUGCGAUAAGUAAUGUGAAUUGCAGAAUUCAGUGAAUCAUCGAAUCUUUGAACGCACCUUGCGCUCCUUGGUAUUCCGAGGAGCAUGCCUGUUUGAGUGUCAUUAAACUCUCAAAAGUCUUGUUUGACUUUUUGGAUUUGGAGUGUUGCUGGCUUCUUGGUCGGCUCCUCUUAAAUGCAUUAGCUUGUAUCUCUGUGGAUUAGGCUUUGGUUUGAUAGUAUCUAUGCCAUUGCCUUUGAAACAAAUGGGUCAGCUUCUAAUUGAUAGUAAUAUCUCUUUGACA